GUGGCACUGAUGCUUAUUGCACCACAUGUGUUUUUCUUUGAAACAAACUUGCUUUGGCGGUGGGCCCAGCCUGCCGCCAGAGGUCUAAACUUACAACCAAUUUUUUAUCAACUUGUCACACCAGAUUAUUACUAAUAGUCAAAACUUUCAACAACGGAUCUCUUGGUUCUCGCAUCGAUGAAGAACGCAGCGAAAUGCGAUACGUAAUAUGAAUUGCAGAUAUUCGUGAAUCAUCGAAUCUUUGAACGCACAUUGCGCCCUCUGGUAUUCCGGAGGGCAUGCCUGUUUGAGCGUCGUUUCUCCCUCAAACCGCUGGGUUUGGUGUUGAGCAAUACGACUUGGGUUUGCUUGAAAGACGGUAGUGGUAAGGCGGGAUCGCUUUGACAAUGGCUUAGGUCUAACCAAAAACAUUGCUUGCGGCGGUAACGUCCACCACGUAUAUCUUCAAACUUUGACCUCAAAUCAGGUAGGACUACCCGCUGAACUUAAGCAUAUCAAAAGCCGGAGGAA
This 510-nucleotide ribosomal RNA is filed under the name Candida albicans. Its description in RNAcentral is "eukaryotic LSU rRNA". The stretch from base 143 to 296 matches the Rfam family "5.8S ribosomal RNA". The record is from RNAcentral. Lineage: Eukaryota; Fungi; Ascomycota; Pichiomycetes; Serinales; Debaryomycetaceae.